UCCUCCAGCCACCUGUGUUCCUCAGCCACCCCUCAUGUCCCCAAGCCACCUCUCGUGUCCUCCAGCCACCUCGUGUCCCUCAGCCACCCCUCAUGUCCUCCAGCCACCCCUUGUGUCCCCUAGCCACGUCUUGUGUCCUCCAGCCACCCCUCACGUACCCCAGACGACCCCAAUGGCUCCCACCUACUCCCAGUGACCACCAGCCACCCCAACUGGUCCCUCCUCCUCCCUCAUGACCUCCACGGGGUUGGCACCUCUGUCCCUCUUUGUCCCUCCUACCAGGCCCAGCCCUGAGCCCCCUCCUACCCUCAGGUGUGAUGAGCUGGUGAGGGCUCAGCCCCUCCUGCCCUGUCCCUGGGUCUGCAGCAUCUUUGGCUCUUCGGGGCUCCUCUGCGCCCACCUCUGCUCUCCACAUCCCCCCCCCAACCACAGGGCAGGCAUAACCGGCCCCCACCUCCCCUCUCGCCUCCUCCAGAAGAUGCUGAUUUUGGCAGCAGUAGUGGUGCUCUUGCUGGCGAUAGUUGCGCUCAUCAUCGGACUUUCUGUGGGGUUAAACAAGAAAUAACCCUCGAAGUGGGGGCUGUGGUCUAUGCUUCUGACCAUCCCAGCGGCGACGUCUCCCAGUGGGACCCUCCCCAGCACCACGGCCUGGCCCCCUCCUCUCCCCACUUCUCCCAGACCCACUGUCCUUACUCCUGGCAUUCCAGCUCCCACCCUGGACUCCAGCUCCGCACCACCGCCCCCCCUUCACGGAGGGACCCCAACACCAGACUCCUCUCUCACACCAAACCAUCCCCUGCGACCCUCCAGUCCCCUGGGGUCUGCCCCUCUUGUCCUCAUGUCCCCUGCGGGAACAGGACUAUUUAUUUUCCUUUUACUGAUAAAUGAACUUCUCCCGGCCCCCCAAAUCUUGCUGGGGGGAGCGAGGGGCCCACAGUGGCACCACUGGGAUGUGGCAACCAGUGCCACAGCUCCAGCGAGAGGAGACAAGGUGCCGCACUCGGAGCAGGCCAGGGCUGGACCCUCCCCUGCGUGGGGACAAGGGACACGGUCAGGUGGGGGGUUUUAGCGGCACCAGCAGCCGCCAGCAGGUCUGGCCACGCUUUGCUGCUCACAGUGUCGCAGCAGACUGAGCUACCGGGGACCCCUGUCCCCUCCUGGCCUUGAUGUCUGCGGCUGGCACGUCCUCCCCGACGUCGUGGGGAGCUGGGGCGGGAGGAGGCGGCAGUCGUGGUUAUUUAAUUGCCAUUAUAAUAAAGAUCCCCGCUGACGCCCGCCCUGCGCCUCUCCUCUCCGUGUGCAAUGCAAUGCCGGGGUGCUGCGGGUACAAGUGGGGUGCUGGCACCCCCAAACACCCGAAACAGGGGUUGAGCAUGGCUCUGGCUCAGCUCAUGGCAGCUGCGGCAUCGUGGCUGGGCUGGCAGGUUUAGCUGAGGGGUCUGGGAUCAGCCUCUGUUUUGGGGGUGAUGCAGCCCCUUGGGGCGAUAUGACAGGGGAGCACGGGGCUGGGAACACCCACCAAGCCCCACAGAUUCCACCAGGCUGGGCCAGACCAUUGUCCCCUCUGCGAUUUUGGAAGAAGAUCUUGAUCAUGAUAUGCUGCAUCAUCCUCAUCAUCAUCUUGGCUGCCAGCAUUGGGAGCAUCUUCGCCUGAGACUCCCCCACCUGGUGCCCUCCAGGUGGCCUUUCCCCCUCCUGCCCCGGCAUCGCCCGGAUGAUCCCGCCUGCGGCUCCGGCCAUCGGAGAGACCCUGACCGCCAGCUCCCGGGACCCUCCUGCCAAGCCCUCGGUCCCCGGAGCCCCCAAGGACAUCCCUCGCCUACCUGGAGGAGUGGAGACCACCUGCCCCACUCCCCAAUUCCCUCCCACCAACGCCCCAAAUUCCCCACUUGCUCCCCAUCCUCUGUUUGGCCGACAGUCAGCAGCCUCUGCAUCAAAGCAGCCCCCUCCUCGGCAGCACAGAGCGUCCGCGUUCCUCCCCGGGGCAGCGUGCGGGUGAUGUAGAGGACUGCCUCGCUCGGGGUAGAAGGAGGAACCUUUCCCCUCACUCAAGAGCUCAUCUGCGGCAACUUCUUCACCUCGCCGGCUCUUCGGAUGCGCAGCCGCCUCCGCCGGAAUCUUCCUCCUCAAUAAAGAGAUCCCCCACGCUCUGCUGCGGGGUUCUGCAUGUCUCAGCGGUGGGAAACAAGCCCUGCUGCGUUCAUCACCUCCGGGAUGCUCCUGGCACUGUGUUUGCACCUCC
Long non-coding RNA from Athene cunicularia (burrowing owl), 2242 nucleotides. RefSeq lists it as uncharacterized. The transcript is spliced from 4 exons. Lineage: Eukaryota; Metazoa; Chordata; Aves; Strigiformes; Strigidae. The record is from RefSeq and is a predicted model, not a curated record.